AAACUUUCAACAAUGGAUCUCUUGGUCUCGCAUCGAUGAAGAACGCAGCGAAAUGCGAUAAGUAAUAUGAAUUGCAGAAUUCCGUGAAUCAUCAAAUUUUUGAACGCAAAUUGCACUUCUUGGUAUUCCGAGGAGUACACAUGCUUGAGGGUCAGU
This 156-nucleotide ribosomal RNA is filed under the name Gigaspora margarita. Its description in RNAcentral is "5.8S ribosomal RNA". It matches the Rfam family "5.8S ribosomal RNA". From Rfam's summary of the family: 5.8S ribosomal RNA (5.8S rRNA) is a component of the large subunit of the eukaryotic ribosome. It is transcribed by RNA polymerase I as part of the 45S precursor that also contains 18S and 28S rRNA. The record is from RNAcentral. Lineage: Eukaryota; Fungi; Glomeromycota; Glomeromycetes; Diversisporales; Gigasporaceae.